Molecule: long non-coding RNA, 2646 nt
Organism: Oncorhynchus nerka (sockeye salmon)
Lineage: Eukaryota; Metazoa; Chordata; Actinopteri; Salmoniformes; Salmonidae
Exons: 2
Source: RefSeq, a predicted model, not a curated record
GUGUAAAUUUAGAUUUCUUUCAAGUUGGGUGUAACUGGUGUGAAAUGGCUAGCUAGUUAGCGGGGUGCGCGCUAAAAGCAUUUCAAUUGGUGACGUUACUCGCUCUGAGACCUGUAAGUAGUUGGUCCCCUUGCUCUGCAAGGGCCGCAGCUUUUGUGGAGCGAUGGGUAACAAUGCUUCGAGGGUGGCUGUUGUCUAUGUGUGCAGGUUCGAGCCCAGGUAGGGGCGAGGAGAGGGACGGAAGCAAAACUGUUACACAGGCACCAUCUUAAAAAGGAGAAUCUCCUCUUUGUAAUUAUGUACGUCUGGGCAAAGAGCUCGUUUGUCAUUGAUCGCUAGACCAGAAAUAGUCAGAAGUUUUUAUUUUUUCCCUACUUUUUCAUGACGCAGACAAACACAGUUAACACCAUCGAGGUGCAGAUGUUUACUUUCUACACAAGUUUUUUUUUCCAGUUUCGUCCAAUGAACAGAUUGUAGUGGUAAAAUAAAAAGGGAUACAUUUUUGGGGGAAUUCUAAGCAUCACUCCAAUCAAAACGAUUCUAUUAAUUUUCUAUGGGCUCGUGCUAGUGUUCCAGUUAAGCCAAUGUUCUUAAACCGUUUUUCAGCCUUGGGUGAAUUUUGACUCAUUCUAUUGUCCAGCCUAUAGAUAGCCAGAGCGAAUUUACGAAAGCACAACGACUAUACCAUUAAGCUAAGCUAAGAAUGACAAGAAUAAUCAAGUUAACAUACUGGCAAGUUUGAUGUAUAACUACUAGCGUUAGGUAGCUAGCUAACAUACUGGUACAUACUGCUGUAAUGAUAUGCUACGUGGUUUGUAAGGAAAGUGUAGCUAGCAAAUUGUCAGCCAACAUAACGUGUAAGGUAACUUAUUGGAAAAGUCAUAACUUUUCAUUGAGUAGCAAGUUAUCCCUUGGUCGUUAGGGCAAAUCUGGUCUGUGAUAGGAGGGGGGGUUUCACACCUAGCUCAGCUAUUAGACUAUUCUUUAGUAAAUGUUGAAUAGUCUAUUGUUCAGCUAUUAGCCCUCCUCCCCAACUUGCAACAAAUUGCUGUUCCCAUCUCAUUCCUUUCCCUCUUACACACGUCAUCAUUCUGCUCCUGAGUGGCUCGCUUGUGGGCGUGCUGGCAGGAUAUGGCAGCAUCUUUGGUUGUGCGUCAAGAAUUCUGCAUACAGUAGCACGUUUGUAUGAAGGUGUGGUUAUUCACGGGAAAAUUGUUAUAUGCUAUGGAGGUACAUAUGUGUCUUCUUGUCGAGAGCAAUUUUAUUUAUUUUUUCAAUCAAAAAUAAUUGUUCUGAAAGCAACAUUUUUUCAACACAAAGGAAGUCAAAGUGGACACCUACGAAGAUGGCAUCUCAGGUAAGCAGCACUGGGCUGUAUUGACGGAUCCUACAAAUGACAUCUGCUGCUUUAGAUUGAACAGUCAUAUCUCAAUUAUUGUUUUCAUAUCUACAAAAAAAUAAGCUAUUUUCUUUACUUUCAGAGAGCGAGCUGACCAAGGGGUUGAAAAUGUAGAUAUUUCCAGAUGUUCACUAUCCGAGUAACAGGCCGUGGAAGCUUUAUUGCAGGCAAAAGUGUCCAUAUCUAGAGGGUAUAUCAGCUGUUUUGGUGAACCGCUCUCGCAUCUGAACUGGCUGACAAAGAAGGCACAUCAUGAUCAUAGGUGAGAUGUCACUUGGUCGGGUCAAUCAUUAAAGAGAUGUAGUAGUCCCAGAGUUAAUGAUCCAAGGUCAGUUUUGCAUUUCACGUUCUGAUUUAAGAUGACUAAGAAUAAAAUCAGAAAAGUUAGAAAAAAGAAAAAACAGGAUUAAUCAUAAAAAUAAAAUAAAUAUUUUUAAAAAACAGUACACCCUUUGGAAGUCCUCUACACAAUAUGUUGCUGCCUGUGCCAUGUCCCAUAGCAGUCUCUUUCUGAUGUAAAGCAGAGGCAAACUGAACAAGUGGUGCAGGUCAUGCGACACAGAACACAACGACGCCUCCAUGCUGUGCCCUUUUGGCCCUGAGGCACAGUCAUGCCUGCAGUAAUGAACUGUGGCAUAUGAACACCACUGGAGGCAGGAGUAGAGGUGGCAGAGGUAGAGCGGGCAGCUUGGCACCGGGGGCUCUCAGUCGGAGUUGCUAUCACUGUGAAAGAAAACAUUAAAAAUAUAUUUGUAUUGUAUGAGCCUUUUAUCGUCACAUAAAAUAAACAGAUAUGUAUUGUAUAGAGCAGAGGGAACAGUCACUAAGGUGAAGUGCUGUUCCAUUUAACCCCGGCCAUUGUUGUGGGCCUGCCCUCCCCUGAACAGCACCCAAUGGCUAUUUCAUAUGGAAAUGGAGAGGAGCAGUGUCACACCCUGACCAUAGUUUGCUUUGUAUGUUUCUAUGUUUUGUUUGGUCAGGGUGUGAUCUGAGUGGGCAUUCUAUGUUGGAUGUCUUGAUUGUCUGUUUCUGUGUUUGUGCCUGAAAUGGUUCUCAAUCAGAGGCAGGUGUUAGUCAUUGUCUCUGACUGGGAGCCAUAUUUAGGUAGCCUGUUUUGUGUUGGGUUUUGUGGGUGGUUGUCUCCUGUGUCAGUGUUUGUACCACACGGGACUAUUUCGGGUUUUCACGUUUCUUGUUUUGUAAUUUAUUCAUGUAUAGUUUCAUUAUUAAAGAACCAUGAAUUAUGA